This 301-nucleotide ribosomal RNA is filed under the name uncultured bacterium. RNAcentral describes it as "partial 16S ribosomal RNA". It matches the Rfam family "Bacterial small subunit ribosomal RNA", at positions 509 to 807 of the family's 1533-position model. The record is from RNAcentral.
CAGUCGCCACGGUAAUACGAGGGGUGCAAGCGUUAUUCGGAUUGAUUGGGUGUAAAGGGUGUGCAGACGGCUUAUUAAGUCACUUGUUAAAUUCUUCGGCCUAACUGAAGGUCUGCAAGUGAUACUGAUGAGCUAGAGGGUGGAAGAGAGAAGUGGAAUUCUCGGAGUAGCGGUAAAAUGCGUAGAUCUCGAGAGGAACACCAAUGGCGAAGGCAGCUUCUUGGUCCAUUCCUGACGUCCAUACACGAAAGCGUGGGGAGCAAACAGGAUUAGAUACCCCCGUAGUCCCUGUCUCUUAUAC